RNAcentral lists this ribosomal RNA (253 nucleotides) under uncultured bacterium. RNAcentral describes it as "partial 16S ribosomal RNA". It matches the Rfam family "Bacterial small subunit ribosomal RNA", at positions 524 to 776 of the family's 1533-position model. The record is from RNAcentral.
UACGGGGGGUGCGAGCGUUGUCCGGAAUCACUGGGCGUAAAGGGCGCGUAGGUGGCGUGAUAAGGGUGUGGUGAAAGCCCGGGGCUCAACCCCGGGUCGGCCAUGCCGACUGUCAGGCUAGAGUGCUGUAGGGGCAGGCGGAAUUCCGGGUGUAGCGGUGGAAUGCGUAGAGAUCCGGAAGAACACCGGUGGCGAAGGCGGUUAGCUGGGCAGUUGCUGACACUGAGGCGCGACAGCGUGGGGAGCAAGCAGG